Molecule: non-coding RNA, 182 nt
Organism: Pseudoalteromonas atlantica
Lineage: Bacteria; Pseudomonadati; Pseudomonadota; Gammaproteobacteria; Alteromonadales; Pseudoalteromonadaceae
Source: Rfam
UGUCUCCUGGAAUGUUUGCCAGUUCAGUAAUGUCCCUGGCCGAUGCUUUUUACCUAGGAAGUUGAUUCCAUCGCUAUUGCGCAAGCUCGGCUCGUAUCGAGACGCCUACGGCAAUGAUGAUACUUCCGCCCUGAACUUUCGGUUCACGGGCGAACACCGAACAGCGGCAUUUUGGGAGACAC